RNAcentral lists this ribosomal RNA (251 nucleotides) under uncultured prokaryote. Its description in RNAcentral is "partial 16S rRNA". It matches the Rfam family "Bacterial small subunit ribosomal RNA", at positions 525 to 775 of the family's 1533-position model. The record is from RNAcentral.
ACGAAGGGGGCUAGCGUUGCUCGGAAUGACUGGGCGUAAAGGGCGCGUAGGCGGCACAACUAGUCAGACGUGAAAUUCCUGGGCUUAACCUGGGGGCUGCGUUUGAUACGGUUGAGCUAGAGGAUGGAAGAGGCUCGUGGAAUUCCCAGUGUAGAAGUGAAAUUCGUAGAUAUUGGGAAGAACACCGGUGGCGAAGGCGGCGAGCUGGUCCAUUACUGACGCUGAGGCGCGAAAGCGUGGGGAGCAAACAG